Molecule: ribosomal RNA, 160 nt
Organism: Plasmodium falciparum (malaria parasite P. falciparum)
Lineage: Eukaryota; Apicomplexa; Aconoidasida; Haemosporida; Plasmodiidae
Rfam family: 5.8S ribosomal RNA
About the family: 5.8S ribosomal RNA (5.8S rRNA) is a component of the large subunit of the eukaryotic ribosome. It is transcribed by RNA polymerase I as part of the 45S precursor that also contains 18S and 28S rRNA.
Source: Rfam
CAAUCUUAACGAUGGAUGUCUUGGCUCUUGUAGCGAUGAAGGCCGCAGCAAAACGCGAUAAGCAAUGAAAAUUGCAAUUACUGUAAAUCAUCAGAAUGCUGAAUGUAAAUUACACCGAUACUAUUUUUUUAGUAUUCCGGUACUCCUAUUUUUAUUGUAC